UUAAAUUGAAGAGUUUGAUCAUGGCUCAGAUUGAACGCUGGCGGCAGGCCUAACACAUGCAAGUCGAACGGUAACAGAAAGCAGCUUGCUGCUUUGCUGACGAGUGGCGGACGGGUGAGUAAUGUCUGGGAAACUGCCUGAUGGAGGGGGAUAAC
This 155-nucleotide ribosomal RNA is filed under the name Escherichia coli. Its description in RNAcentral is "partial 16S ribosomal RNA". It matches the Rfam family "Bacterial small subunit ribosomal RNA", at positions 1 to 147 of the family's 1533-position model. Lineage: Bacteria; Pseudomonadati; Pseudomonadota; Gammaproteobacteria; Enterobacterales; Enterobacteriaceae. The record is from RNAcentral.